Molecule: ribosomal RNA, 1239 nt
Filed under: metagenome
Description: SSU rRNA
Rfam family: Eukaryotic small subunit ribosomal RNA
Source: RNAcentral
AAACCGCUCCCGAGGAUCUAUUGGAGGGCAAGUCUGGUGCCAGCAGCCGCGGUAAUUCCAGCUCCAAUAGCGUAUAUUAAAGUUGUUGUGGUUAAAAAGCUCGUAGUUGGAUUUCGGCGGGUAGUGGUCGGUUUGAAUUGCUUCAACACUGGCUUUUUUACCCGUGUGUUUUGCCAGAAUUUAACGGGUGAUCUUCGCCGAUUGUCCGUUAGAACUGGCAGGUUUACUUUGAAAAAAUUAGAGUGCUCAAAGCAAGCUUGAUUGCUUGAAUAUUCGUGCAUGGAAUAAUAGAAUAGGAAGUCGUUUCUAGUUUGUUGGUUUUCGGAAAUCGACUUAAUGAUUAAUAGGGAUAGUCGGGGGCAUUUGUAUUCAAACGACAGAGGUGAAAUUCUUGGACCGUUUGAAGACAAACUACUGCGAAGGCAUUUGCCAAGAAUGUUUUCAUUAAUCAAGAACGAAAGUUAGAGGUUCGAAGGCGAUUAGAUACCGCCCUAGUUCUAACCAUAAACGAUGCCAGCUAGCGAUCUGCCGGUGCUUGAUUUUCUGGCCCGGCAGGCAGCUUCCGGGAAACCAAAGCUUGUGGGUUCCAGGGGAAGUAUGGUUGCAAAGCUGAAACUUAAAGGAAUUGACGGAAGGGCACCACCAGGAGUGGAGCCUGUGGCUUAAUUUGACACAACACGGGAAAUCUCACCAGGCCCGGACACCAGAAGGAUUGACAGAUUGAUAGCUCUUUCUUGAUUUGGUGGGUGGUGGUGCAUGGCCGUUCUUAGUUGGUGGAGUGAUUUGUCUGGUUAAUUCCGAUAACGAACGAGACUCUGUCCUGUUAAAUAGAUCCAACCUAGUUGUAGGGUUGGAAUGUCUUCUUAGAGGGACUGGUGAUUAUUAGUCACACGAGAUUGAGCAAUAACAGGUCUGUGAUGCCCUUAGAUGUUCUGGGCCGCACACGCGCUACACUGAAGUGAUCAGCUAGUUUUUCCCUCUCCGAGAGGAGCGGGUAAACUGUUGAACCCACUUCGUGGUAGGGAUCGGAGCUUGCAAUUAUUCUCCGUGAACCAGGAAUUCCCAGUAGGUGCAAGUCAUAAGCUUGCAUCGAUUACGUCCCUGCUCUUUGUACACACCGCCCGUCGCUACUACCGAUUGAGUGUUUUAGUGAGGACCUCGGAUUGCUUGCCUGGCGGUUAACGCUGCCUAGCUGGCGAAAAGACGUCCAAACUGUAGCACUUAGAGGAAGUAAAAGUC